UACGUAGGGACCGAGCGUUGUCCGGAAUCAUUGGGCGUAAAGAGCGUGUAGGCGGCUUGUUAAGUCUUGCGUGAAAUCUCGGGGCUCAACCCCGAGCGGUCGUGAGAAACUGGCAGGCUAGAGUGCGGGAGAGGAGAGUGGAAUUCCUGGUGUAGCGGUGAAAUGCGCAGAUAUCAGGAAGAACACCCGUGGCGAAGGCGGCUCUCUGGAACGCAACUGACGCUGAGGAGCGAAAGCAUGGGGAGCGAACAGG
This 253-nucleotide ribosomal RNA is filed under the name uncultured bacterium. Its description in RNAcentral is "partial 16S ribosomal RNA". It matches the Rfam family "Bacterial small subunit ribosomal RNA", at positions 524 to 776 of the family's 1533-position model. The record is from RNAcentral.